This 615-nucleotide ribosomal RNA is filed under the name fungal endophyte. Its description in RNAcentral is "eukaryotic LSU rRNA". The stretch from base 178 to 331 matches the Rfam family "5.8S ribosomal RNA". Lineage: Eukaryota; Fungi. The record is from RNAcentral.
AAAGAGUUCUAUAACUCCCAAACCCAUGUGAACAUACCUAACGUUGCCUCGGCAGGUCGCGCCUACCUCGUAGCCCCCUACCCUGUAGGGCCUACCCGGGAGACGCGGGUAAGCCUGCCGGCGGCCCACCAAACUCUGUUUGAUAUUGAAUUCUGAACCUAUAACUAAAUAAGUUAAAACUUUCAACAACGGAUCUCUUGGUUCUGGCAUCGAUGAAGAACGCAGCGAAAUGCGAUAAGUAAUGUGAAUUGCAGAAUUCAGUGAAUCAUCGAAUCUUUGAACGCAUAUUGCGCCCAUUAGUAUUCUAGUGGGCAGGACCGUUCGAGCGUCAUUUCGACCCUUAAGCCUUAGUUGCUUAGUGUUGGGAGCCUACGGUAACGUAGCUCCUCAAAGUUAGUGGCGGAGUUGGUUCACACUCUAGACGUAGUAAUUUUUUAUCUCGCCUAUCAGUUGGACCGAUCCCCUGCCAUAAAACCCCCAACUUCUCAAGGUUGACCUCGAAUCGGUUCAGACAAACUCGCUAAAUUGAAGCAUCUUAGUCAGCGAAGGAAAAGAAACCAACAGGGAUUGCCCUAGUAACGGCGAGUGAAGCGGCAACAGCUCAAAUUUGAAAUC